GAUGAACGCUGGCGGCGUGCCUAAUACAUGCAAGUCGAGCGAACAGAUGAGGAGCUUGCUCCUCUGACGUAACCGCCGGCGGGUGAGUAACACCUUGAUUACCUACCUUUAAGACUUGGGUUACUUCCGGAAACCCGAGCUAAUUCCCGGUAAUUUAUUUAACCGCAUUGUUUCAUUAUUAAAGACGGUUUUUCUUUCCCUUUUAGAUUGAUCCGCGCCGCAUUAGCUAGUUGGUAAGGUAACGGCUUACCAAGGCAACGAUGCGUAGCCGACCUGAGAGGGUGAUCGGCCACACUGGAACUGAGACACGGUCCAGACUCCUACGGGAGGCAGCAGUAGGGAAUCUUCCGCAAUGGGCGAAAGCCUGACGGAGCAACGCCGCGUGAGUGAUGAAGGUCUUCGGAUCGUAAAACUCUGUUAUUAGGGAAGAACAAAUGUGUAAGUAACUAUGCACGUCUUGACGGUACCUAAUCAGAAAGCCACGGCUAACUACGUG
Molecule: ribosomal RNA, 496 nt
Filed under: uncultured bacterium
Lineage: Bacteria
Description: partial 16S ribosomal RNA
Rfam family: Bacterial small subunit ribosomal RNA
Source: RNAcentral